GUAUUUUAUUUUUCCCUUUUAAAUUCUUGAAAUUCUAUAAUUUGAUUUUAUAUACAAACAUAGACAACAAAGUUUGAUUAUAACUCUAAAGGAGUUUGUGAGAAAUUAUAACCACACGAAGUGGUAAAAUCUCUAUGUCCUGCCAUGAUUAAAUUCAUGCAUGAUUGUGGGCAAAUAAUUAAAAAUCCGUCCCAUUGAAUUUGCUCCAUUCCCUUUAGAGAAUGUGGAAGCAGUAUAUGAUAAGUCGGAAAGAAGACUAAAAUAUUACCAUGAAGGUAUCAAUGAAUAUGGACGUGGCAAAAAAUUCCGUCCAAUUGAAUUAGCUCCAUUUCCUUUAGAGAAUGUGGUAGCAGCAUGUGGUAAGUCUGAAAGAAGACAAAAUUAUUACCAUGGA
This 394-nucleotide long non-coding RNA is filed under the name Nicotiana benthamiana. RNAcentral's name for it is "long non-coding RNA (NBEN_LNC012918)". Lineage: Eukaryota; Viridiplantae; Streptophyta; Magnoliopsida; Solanales; Solanaceae. The record is from RNAcentral.